RNAcentral lists this long non-coding RNA (954 nucleotides) under Triticum aestivum (bread wheat). RNAcentral's name for it is "long non-coding RNA (TAES_LNC004953)". Lineage: Eukaryota; Viridiplantae; Streptophyta; Magnoliopsida; Poales; Poaceae. The record is from RNAcentral.
UCACAACAACAUACAUGUAACCAGAAGUUCACAAAUGAAAGGACCAUGAGUUCCAAGUUCACACCAAGCAUGAACCUAAAAGAUGCAAUGAGCUCCACCGCAGCAUGUAUGCCCACCGUCAACGGCAUCCACGAUGCAAACCUACAAGUCCAUUAUCACACGCAUGAGUUUCUAAAGUUAAGUUGCAAAGAUCAAUAAGGCACAAGAGUCAACAAGCAUCAACAUAUAAGGUUCAAAUUGAAGCUAAGAAAUAUGAACAAUAUAAGCAUCAACACUUGUGGGCUCUACCAUCAACAAUGCACAAGUUGUAAGUUGAGAAGCACAAGCAACGACAAGACGCAAGCAUCAACAAUGCACAAACAUAGACAACUACCUCGAGUGAUCAUUGUUGCGGGGAGAUCGAGGCGACAUGAGCCGUAGUGGGUGGGUGUCAAUGGGCUUGCUUGGCCAGGUGUAGGUCCACCUACCACACAGUUAUUGGAGCCUUGUCCCGACUGAGAGCACCUCAAGCAUGAAACGGUGAAAUGGUAAUGCAUGAUCUUUAAGCAGGAUGGUAAGAUGCAUGAUUGAAAAGUUGGAAGACUUACAAAGUUGAAAGUAGGAAGAGGUUGAAGUGGAGGAAGAUCCGGCAAAGUGGAACCCUGCAUAUUAGCUCUGAACUGAGCGAACGCCUCCUGCAGGGAUGCCUGCUGUGUAGCCAUGAAUUGCUACUGUUGAAACAGGGGUUGUUGCAUUUUCAUGGCUUGCUCCUGUUUAAGCAGGGCAUUCUCCUGAGCCUCCUCCUGCAACCUGGUUUCUUUCUCUAGGCGGGCCUACAAUAUGCCAUCGCAACAAGUUCACCAUCGUUGCAAUACAAACAAGAAAUCACAAGGAAGGUCAAUUAAGCAAAACAUACCUCGAAUUGAUAGAGCAUGUGCAGCCCAGGUUGUGGGCGACACUCUAUAGCAGGACCUG